CAGCUGUCUCUUGUGCUUGAUCUAACCAUGUGCCACCGCCUACACUCGCCUCACAUGGUUCCGUCAAGCACCAGGGACCGCUG
Molecule: microRNA precursor, 83 nt
Filed under: Astyanax mexicanus (Mexican tetra)
Lineage: Eukaryota; Metazoa; Chordata; Actinopteri; Characiformes; Acestrorhamphidae
Description: mir-218 microRNA precursor family
Rfam family: mir-218 microRNA precursor family
About the family: The extents of the hairpin precursors are not known. In this case the mature sequence in excised from the 5'arm of the hairpin.
Source: Rfam by way of RNAcentral